Molecule: ribosomal RNA, 429 nt
Filed under: Acidobacteriota bacterium
Lineage: Bacteria; Pseudomonadati; Acidobacteriota
Description: Acidobacteria bacterium partial 16S ribosomal RNA
Rfam family: Bacterial small subunit ribosomal RNA
Source: RNAcentral
UGGGGAAUUUUGGACAAUGGGGGAACCCCUGAUCCAGCCAUCCCGCGUGUGCGAUGAAGGCCUUCGGGUUGUAAAGCACUUUUGGCAGGAAAGAAACGUCAUGGGUUAAUACCCCGUGAAACUGACGGUACCUGCAGAAUAAGCACCGGCUAACUACGUGCCAGCAGCCGCGGUAAUACGUAGGGUGCAAGCGUUAAUCGGAAUUACUGGGCGUAAAGCGUGCGCAGGCGGUUCGGAAAGAAAGAUGUGAAAUCCCAGAGCUCAACUUUGGAACUGCAUUUUUAACUACCGGGCUAGAGUGUGUCAGAGGGAGGUGGAAUUCCGCGUGUAGCAGUGAAAUGCGUAGAUAUGCGGAGGAACACCGAUGGCGAAGGCAGCCUCCUGGGAUAACACUGACGCUCAUGCACGAAAGCGUGGGGAGCAAACAGG